GACGAACGCUGGCGGCGUGCCUAAUACAUGCAAGUAGAACGCUGAAGCUUGGUGCUUGCACCGAGCGGAAGAGUUGCGAACGGGUGAGUAACGCGUAGGUAACCUGCCUGGUAGCGGGGGAUAACUAUUGGAAACGAUAGCUAAUACCGCAUAAAAUGGAUUAUCGCAUGAUAAUCCAUUGAAAGGUGCAAAUGCAUCACUACCAGAUGGACCUGCGUUGUAUUAGCUAGUUGGUGGGGUAACGGCUCACCAAGGCAACGAUACAUAGCCGACCUGAGAGGGUGAUCGGCCACACUGGGACUGAGACACGGCCCAGACUCCUACGGGAGGCAGCAGUAGGGAAUCUUCGGCAAUGGACGGAAGUCUGACCGAGCAACGCCGCGUGAGUGAAGAAGGUUUUCGGAUCGUAAAGCUCUGUUGUAAGAGAAGAACGAGUGUGAGAGUGGAAAGCUCACACUGUGACGUAUCUACCAGAAAGGC
RNAcentral lists this ribosomal RNA (480 nucleotides) under Streptococcus sp. oral taxon 070. RNAcentral describes it as "bacterial SSU rRNA". It matches the Rfam family "Bacterial small subunit ribosomal RNA", at positions 28 to 492 of the family's 1533-position model. Lineage: Bacteria; Bacillati; Bacillota; Bacilli; Lactobacillales; Streptococcaceae. The record is from RNAcentral.